AUGCUUAAGGGGAAAAAGAUUGAUGCAUUUUUCAAAAGAAAGAGAGGUGAUUCAGUUGAUGAACCAACAGCAACCGAAGCAAUGCCUAUUCAUCCAACGGACUGUGUUCAACCUCCUCUGUUGUUACUCGAAUUUGAGCAACACGGACCACAUCCUUCAAUGCCUCAACAGCAAGGACAUAGCCAUCAAACUCAAACAAAUGAAGUACAAUUUCAAGGGAUUGAAUUCUUGCAGCGGGAUCCAGCACUACGUCCACAAAUUUGGCAAUAUCCACCUAAUCAAAGAGAUGAUGUGCGGCGAGCAUAUUUGAAGCUUGGUAUUAUGCAGCCCCGUAUGGUCCAGAAGGUCGCAAACGACGCUUUAAGUAUGACUGGUUCAAGGAUUUCCCAUCAUGGUUGGAGUACUCGGAGGACAGUCAUCGUGCGUAUUGCUUCUAUUGUUUCUUGUUCGGCAAAAACAAAAACAAGAGAGGUGGUUCAGAUGUCUUUACAGUGCGAGGAUUUGUAA
This 507-nucleotide ribosomal RNA is filed under the name Triticum aestivum (bread wheat). RNAcentral describes it as "partial small subunit ribosomal RNA". Lineage: Eukaryota; Viridiplantae; Streptophyta; Magnoliopsida; Poales; Poaceae. The record is from RNAcentral.